This is a long non-coding RNA of Melitaea cinxia (Glanville fritillary), 162 nucleotides long. RefSeq lists it as uncharacterized. The record is from RefSeq and is a predicted model, not a curated record. The transcript has 2 exons. NCBI's taxonomy places the organism in Eukaryota, Metazoa, Arthropoda, Insecta, Lepidoptera, Nymphalidae.
UAGUUUAAGAUUAUGAACAAACAUUGUGAGAGGUGUUAUCACACGCCUAGUGGGAAAUUAACACGAAACGCGUUUCCAACUUUAAUCACAGUUGCACACCAGGCGUUUAACCAACCAUUACUUGUAGAUGACUCAUUAUUAACAGAAUCUUCAAUUAUUGAU